RNAcentral lists this ribosomal RNA (415 nucleotides) under uncultured bacterium. Its description in RNAcentral is "bacterial SSU rRNA". It matches the Rfam family "Bacterial small subunit ribosomal RNA", at positions 355 to 787 of the family's 1533-position model. The record is from RNAcentral.
UCGGGAAUAUUGCGCAAUGGAGGAAACUCUGACGCAGUGACGCCGCGUGCAGGAAGAAGGUUUUCGGAUUGUAAACUGCUUUAGACAGGGAAGAAAAAGACAGUACCUGUAGAAUAAGCUCCGGCUAACUACGUGCCAGCAGCCGCGGUAAUACGUAGGGAGCGAGCGUUAUCCGGAUUUAUUGGGUGUAAAGGGUGCGUAGACGGGAAGAUAAGUUAGUUGUGAAAUCCCUCGGCUCAACUGAGGAACUGCAACUAAACUGUACACUCUUGAGUACUGGAGAGGAAAGUGGAAUUCCUAGUGUAGCGGUGAAAUGCGUAGAUAUUAGGAGGAACACCAGUGGCGAAGGCGACUUUCUGGACAGAAACUGACGUUGAGGCACGAAAGUGUGGGGAGCAAACAGGAUUAGAUACCC